RNAcentral lists this long non-coding RNA (208 nucleotides) under Elaeis guineensis (African oil palm). RNAcentral's name for it is "long non-coding RNA (EGUI_LNC067415)". The record is from RNAcentral. Lineage: Eukaryota; Viridiplantae; Streptophyta; Magnoliopsida; Arecales; Arecaceae.
UAUAGGAGUUCGACUCUCACAAGAGCCCGGUCAGAAUCUUGAAGGUUGUCGAUCGCUGUAGAAACUCGGAUGGAGUCCGAUCGCUGUAGAAACCUCAUUGUCGAAGAAGCUCGAUAUCGACGGAGUCCGAAAGGAGUUUGGAGAAUAGUUGGUCACUGUAGAAGGUCGGCUAACAGUGAGGCCUAUAGAGCCUUUGGAGUGGCACGGU